UAAGAAUUUUUAUGCAUAAUAAUGAAAUUAUUAUUAUAUAAUGAUCGAUUAUAAAUUUUAAAUAUUAAAUUAUGGAUGAUAUAUUAUUAAAUAUCAUUGGCAACAAGAUAUAUAAAUUGAAGAUAAAUCGAGAACGAUUUUAGAGACGAUUUUAAAUUGGAUUAUAUAUGAUACAAUUUAUUGAUUUGUACGUAAAACUAUACUAUAUAAGACGAAAUUAUUAAAAAGAAAAAAUAGAAGAGAAAUAUAUAUAUAUAUAUAUAUCUAUAUAUAAUAAUCAAAUGCCUGGGAAUGUUCCAGUUUGCAAAUAUGAAUUUAGAAAUUAAUGAAGUGCAUUGCACAAAUAGGACUGCGAUUAAAUUAAAGUGGAGCGUGAUUUUCUGGCUGAUUCAUCAUCAUAAUGAUUGACAUCAGGAAGAAAAAAAGAAAAAAA
Apis florea (little honeybee) is the source of this 433-nucleotide long non-coding RNA. The record is from RefSeq and is a predicted model, not a curated record. Lineage: Eukaryota; Metazoa; Arthropoda; Insecta; Hymenoptera; Apidae.